AGCAGGGGGCGACCCCGCCAAAAAAAACUGAGCCGGCGGCGUUAAAUAAAACGCGGCCGGCGAAU
Molecule: non-coding RNA, 65 nt
Organism: Brenneria sp. EniD312
Lineage: Bacteria; Pseudomonadati; Pseudomonadota; Gammaproteobacteria; Enterobacterales; Pectobacteriaceae
Source: Rfam